AGGUCUAGUCUUUCACUUUAUGCACCGAGAAUCUUUCUGAAUAGAAUAUGAGGCUCUUAUUAUUGGCCUCGAUGUCUCCGUCCUAACGGACUCGAUCAGUUAUUAACAUAUUCGAGUAGAUUGAUGCUUUUUUUUGGUUCAAUCCAGUGGUAAUAUAUAGCUACAAGAAGACUCUAGUGUUCAAGGUAGAGAAAAAUAAAUUCCUAGGCCUAUACACAUGCUUAGGCCUCUUCAAUUGGUCGGAGAAAGGUUGCCGUAGGUGAGACCGUGGAUGGCGAUUCUAUAGAAAGAUGCUUUUCCGCGUCCUCGUUAGUCCGGGGAGUAGCCCUUUCUUCGAGUAUGGAUGGUUUUGUACAUUCAUUCUGGAGCAACCAAGCGAGCAGAGCCCAACUACCAAUCCUGGAACUAGUGGCAAUCUAACGAAUUCGGGAAAGGCAGUUACCCUGCCGGGAAUAAAGCCUUCAUUUGUCCUCCUCCGAACCCGUUGGGAGCAAAAUCCUGGCCCUGAUGAGCCUGCUAAUUGGAUUGUGUACCGGGAGUGAGUGAGCUUAGGGCAUUGGCCCUUCCCGGAAUCUGCUAUGCGCCCCCCAAAAAGCGGUAAUAGAACCAAAGGGCGCCCUUAAAGCGAAGCGAAAACUUACAACCCUGGGGAGGCAAGCUUUCCGGUAGUAUCCCACGUGAUCUUAUAUCAUAGCUGAAGGCAAAAGUUUUUUUGUCUUUGAAGCAUGGGAACGGAGUUGGAGUCGUAGGCCCAUAACCCUUUUUGCCCCUACAGUUCCAAUCUAUAAAAAUAUUACAUACCAAAGGAGAGAUUCGCCCUAUAUAGAGAGGGAAUAAAAGGGAUUACCGAGAGUGGUGGGUGCUAAGCGCUUUUCAUCUCGUGUCAGACCAUUUGCUCUCGAUGACAGGCCCAUUUAAGUUGCCUUUUUUGAAUCCUUUGAAAGAGCUAUUUAGUCUUGAGUUUCCUGUCCUGUACUUUACUUUGGGUCAUUUUUUUAGUGUAGUGCCCUGGCGGUUAUAAUUAGAAUCGAAUCUCUCUAGUACGACUUCCUGUAAGCCAGUGCUUUGACCUAUUCUCUCUAUUGCUAAAAAUCCUUUCCCAGGCCAGCCAAUGGCAGUUAUCUCGCUUCUGCUAAGGUCCAUAGAUAGACUGGUACGGAGAAUAGAUAUACUUAGUGAAAAAAUUUUUGUGGAAAAAAAAGUAUCAACAGAAGCGGGCGUGUUCUUGGUGAGCUAUGAGAAUAUACGAAUUAAAAAAAAAAAAUGGUUGCUUUCUUUCCUUUCUCCCUCACUACAUCUCUUUCUAUCUCAAUAUCAUAAGAGAAGAAAGAAAGCUUUCUUCAUAUGCCCCAAACUCCCAUGCCUUUCCGCUUAAGAACCAAGCGGUCAUUUCCUUCUUCCUGAAUUGGGAGAGCAAUAAUCAGUCUCUCCUUUUUGUUGGGGGAGAGCAGUCAAAGAAUUCAAAAAAGAAUGAGAGGAAAAGAGACAUUAACGCGAGUUUCGGCAUCCCACCAUAAUUCUAUGGUUGAUCCAUCUGGAGCGUCUGGAUCGGCAAGGCAAGAAGUUCUUCAGGGGAUACCGGUUCAUGAGAUAUUUCCAGAUAUAGAUAUAUCGGACAUACUAACCUCCCCUUUCUACUUAGCCGGAGUGGUUCACAUCUCUGGUGAAAUUGAGGACCCGCUGACCAUCUCCAAGCUAUCUAUUUUUAAUCAAUUAUUGGUCCAUAUCCGGAUUUUUUGGAGGAGUAAUACAACCGGGCUAUACCCAAUACCUCCAACGCGAAUUGGACGUAAAGCGAGCAAAGCCCAACUACCAAUCCUGGAACUAGUGGCAAUCUAACGAAUUUGGGAAAGGCAGUUACCCUACCGAGAAUAAAGCCUUCAUUUGUCCUCCUCCUAACCCGUUGGGAGAAAAUCCUGGCCAUGAUGAGCCUACUAAUUGGAUUGUGUACCGGAAGUGAGUGAGCUUAGGGCAUUGGCCCUUCCCGGAAUAUGCUAUGCGCCCCCCAAAAAGCGGUAAUAGAACCAAAGGGCGCCCUUAAAGCUAAGCGAAAACUUACAACCCUAGGGAGGCAAGCUUUCCGGUAGUAUCCCACGUGAUCUUAUAUCAUAGCUGAAGGCAAAAGUUUUUUUUGUCUUUGAAGCAUGGGAACAGAGUUGGAGUCAUAGGCCCAAACCCUUUUUGCCCCUAUAAUUCCAAUCUAUAAAACUAUUACAUCUCUUGGUGAACUAUGAAUAUAUAGGAAUUAAAAAAUAAAAAUUGUUGAUUUCUUUCCUUUUUUCCUCACUACAUCUCUUUCUAUAUCAAUAUCAUAAGAGAAGAAAGAAAACUUUCUUCAUAUGCCCCAAACUCCCAUGCCUUUUUCGCUUAAAAAUCAAGCGGUCAUUUCUUUCUUCCUGAAUUGGGAGACCAAUAAUCAGUCUCUCCUUUUUAUUGGGGAGAGAGCAGACAAAGAAUUUAAAAAAGAAUGAGAGGAAAAGAGACAUUAACGCGAGUUUCGACAUCCCAUCAUAAUUCUAUGGUUGAUCCAUUUGAAGUGUCUGCAUCGGCAAGGCAAGAAGUUCUUCAGGGGAUACCGGUUCAUGAGAUAUUUCUAGAUAUAGAUAUAUCAGACAUACUAACCUCCCCUUUCUAUUUAGCCGGAGUGGUUCACAUCUCUGGUGAAAUUGAGGACCCGCUGACCAUCUCCAAGCUAUCUAUUUUUAAUCAAUUAUUGGUUCAUAUUCAGAUUUUUUGGAGGAGUAAGACAACCGGGCUAUACCCAAUACCUCCAAAACGAAUUGGACGUAACUAGUGCGGAAUUACUCCCGACUAAGCUAAACUUUAUGAUUAAUCGAGAGUACCAGAAUUGGUAUAUUCAUUUCGACGAA
Molecule: long non-coding RNA, 2870 nt
Filed under: Linum usitatissimum (flax)
Lineage: Eukaryota; Viridiplantae; Streptophyta; Magnoliopsida; Malpighiales; Linaceae
Description: long non-coding RNA (LUSI_LNC004802)
Source: RNAcentral